UACGAAGGGUGCAAGCGUUACUCGGAAUUACUGGGCGUAAAGCGUGCGUAGGUGGUUCGUUAAGUCUGAUGUGAAAGCCCUGGGCUCAACCUGGGAAUGGCAUUGGAAACUGGCGAUCUAGAGUGCGGUAGAGGGUAGUGGAAUUCCCGGUGUAGCAGUGAAAUGCGUAGAGAUCGGGAGGAACAUCUGUGGCGAAGGCGACUGCCUGGACCAGCACUGACACUGAGGCACGAAAGCUAGGGGAGCAAACGGG
Molecule: ribosomal RNA, 253 nt
Filed under: uncultured bacterium
Lineage: Bacteria
Description: partial 16S ribosomal RNA
Rfam family: Bacterial small subunit ribosomal RNA
Source: RNAcentral